CUACGUGCCAGCAGCCGCGGUAAUACGUAGGUGGCAAGCGUUGUCCGGAAUUAUUGGGCGUAAAGCGCGCGCAGGCGGAUCUGCCAGUCUGUCUUAAAAGUUCGGGGCUCAACCCCGYGAUGGGAUGGAAACUACAGAUCUAGAGUAUCGGAGGGGAAAGUGGAAUUCCUAGUGUAGCGGUGAAAUGCGUAGAUAUUAGGAGGAACACCAGUGGCGAAGGCGACUUUCUGGACGAUCACUGACGCUGAGGCGCGAAAGCCAGGGGAGCGAACGGGAUUAGAUACCCCGGUAGUCCUGGCCGUAAACGAUGGGUACUAGGUGUAGGAGGUAUCGACCCCUUCUGUGCCGUAGCUAACGCAUUAAGUGCCCCGCCUGGGGAGUACGGCCGCAAGGCUAAAACUCAAAGAAAUUGACGGGGGCCCGCACAAGCGGCGGAGCAUGCGGAUUAAUUCGAUGCAACGCGAAGAACCUUACCAAGGCUUGACAU
RNAcentral lists this ribosomal RNA (487 nucleotides) under uncultured bacterium. RNAcentral's name for it is "bacterial SSU rRNA". It matches the Rfam family "Bacterial small subunit ribosomal RNA", at positions 501 to 987 of the family's 1533-position model. The record is from RNAcentral.